Molecule: ribosomal RNA, 506 nt
Filed under: uncultured bacterium
Lineage: Bacteria
Description: partial 16S ribosomal RNA
Rfam family: Bacterial small subunit ribosomal RNA
Source: RNAcentral
AGUGAACGCUGGCGGUAGGCCUAACACAUACAAGUCGAACGGCAGCACAGGAGAGCUCGCUCUCUGGGUGGCGAGUGGCGGACGGGUGAGGAAUACAUCGGAAUCUACUUUUUCGUGGGGGAUAACGUAGGGAAACUUACGCUAAUACCGCAUACGACCUACGGGUGAAAGCAGGGGAUCUUCGGACCUUGCGCGAUUGAAUGAGCCGAUGUCGGAUUAGCUAGUUGGCGGGGUAAAGGCCCACCAAGGCGACGAUCCGUAGCUGGUCUGAGAGGAUGAUCAGCCCCACUGGAACUGAGACACGGGCCAGACUCCUACGGGAGGCAGCAGUGGGGAAUAUUGGACAAUGGGCGCAAGCCUGAUCCAGCCAUACCGCGUGGGUGAAGAAGGCCUUCGGGUUGUAGAGCCCUUUUGUUGGGAAAGAAAUCCAGCUGGUUAAUACCCGGUUGGGAUGACGGUACCCAAAGAAUAAGCACCGGCUAACUUCGUGCCAGCCGCCGCCGUAA